GCCAGCAUGGCAUAGUGAUUUGAGCAUUGGACUAUGAUUCUGGAGACUAGGGUUCAAUUCCCUACUUGGCC
Molecule: non-coding RNA, 71 nt
Organism: Phrynosoma platyrhinos (Desert horned lizard)
Lineage: Eukaryota; Metazoa; Chordata; Lepidosauria; Squamata; Phrynosomatidae
Source: the annotation of a GenBank genome assembly